UGUUGAUUCUAUGGGUGGUGGUGCAUGACCGUUGUUAGUUGGUGGAGUGAUUCGUUUGGCUAAUUCCGUUAACGAACGAGACCUUAGCGUACUAAAUAGUCGCAACAAUGCCAAUUGUUUGCGGCUUCUUAGAGGGACUUUGCGAGCAACCGCAAGGAAGUUUGAGGCAAUAACAGGUCUGUGAUGCCCUUAGAUGUCCUGGGCCGCACGCGUGCUACACUGACACAUACAGCGAGUAUCACCAGCUCCGUGAGGCAGCUGGUAAUCAGCAAUAUGUGUCGUGCUGGGGAUAGAUCUUUGGAAUUUUUGAUCUUGAACGAGGAAUGCCUAGUAAGCGCAAGUCAUCAGCUUGCGUUGAUUAAGUCCCUGCCCUUUGUACACACCGCCCGUCGCUCCUACCGAUUUCGAGUGGUCCGGUGAACCCUUUGGACCGAGAGCGUCUCGUGCGCUUUUGGAAAGUCGAGUAAACCACAUCACUAGAGAAGAAAAGUCGAGCAUGC
This 500-nucleotide ribosomal RNA is filed under the name uncultured eukaryote. Its description in RNAcentral is "SSU rRNA". It matches the Rfam family "Eukaryotic small subunit ribosomal RNA", at positions 1260 to 1799 of the family's 1831-position model. The record is from RNAcentral.